GGCUGAGGCAUGAUGUGGGAUGGGAGCCUGCCGAGCCAACCGAGGCAAAGAAACCUCUCGCGCCAGCUAAGGCGUGGAAGCCCGACGAGCCAGCUGAGGCACCCCCGGUUCCUUCAGCAGUGGCACCCGGUCCCGACGUCACCAACAAAACAAAAGAAUCCCUGAUGCUUCAAAUAUUGGUGUCAGCAUUCUGUAAGGACAGACGCUGGGAGUUGAGAAGCAAGUACAGGGAGUGAACAUUUAAUAAAUAACUGACAAGGAACAAACAAGGACAGCGUCUAAAGAGGGGAAACAUAAACGACAAUAAUGCUGACACGGGAACAAACUAAGGAACAGACAGAUAGAAGGGGCAAUCAACUAAGUGAAGGAGUCCAGGACCUAAGCCCUAGGACCAUGCCUCAGGACUACCUGGCCUGAUGACUCCUUGCUGUCCCCAGUCCACUUGGUCAUGCUGCUACUCCAGUUUCAACUGUUCUGCCUGCGGCUAUAGAACCCUGACCUGUUCACUGGAUGUGCUACCUUGUCCCGGACCUGCUGUUUUGGACCCCCUCUACCGCACCUGCUGUCUCUAACUCUGAAUGAUCGGCUAUGAAAAGCCAACUGACAUUUACUCCUGAGGUGCUGACCUGUUGCACAUUAUUAUUAUCUAACCCUGCUGGUCAUCUAUGAACAUUUGAACAUCUUGGCCAUGUUCUGUUAUAAUCUCCACCCGGCACAGCCAGAAGAGGACUGGCCACCUUUCACAGCCUGGUUCCUCUAGGUUUCUUCCUAGGUUCUGGACUUUCUAGGGAGUUUUUCCUAGCCACCGUGCUUCUACAUCUGCAUUGCUUGCUGUUUGGGGUUUUAGGCUGGGUUUCUGUACAGCACUUAGUGAGAUCGGCUGAUGUAAAAAGGGCUUUAUAAUUUGAUUGAUUUAACUUUAUGGCUAAAAAUAGGUCAAUUAGGGGCAGUUAAAAGAAGUACAAUACAUGGUUCAGAACCAAAAAAAGAAACAAAUAUAUGUUUUUUUAAGGAACAGAAAUGGAACGAAAGUGAUCCAUACAGUUCUGGAACAGAAACAGUUCGAUUCCCACGGGGGGCCAGUACAAAAAAAAUAUAUUAAAAAAAAUGCAUGAAAUGAAAUGUAUGAAAUGUAUUCACUACUGUAAGUCGCUCUGGAU
RNAcentral lists this long non-coding RNA (1160 nucleotides) under Salmo salar (Atlantic salmon). Its description in RNAcentral is "lncRNA (ENSSSAG00000097144.1)". The record is from RNAcentral. Lineage: Eukaryota; Metazoa; Chordata; Actinopteri; Salmoniformes; Salmonidae.